AUGACGGCUAUAUUUUUGUGUAUUCUGGUUACAAUGUUUACUACGGUGGUAUGGUAUUGUGGUGGAAUCUUCAACAAAAAUGAUGAUAGUAUGGGGUAAACCAACAACGUUUGCUACUACAAUUCCAUACGUAAAUACAACAAUUGACUGGGAUGAUUGUGUCCAGCUAUGCUACAAUUUCACAAGCUGCGUUGUUGCAUUCCAAAACUCAACUGGAUGCAAUUUGUUUCCAUUUAAUAGUGUUCCAGUCAUACAGAAGACCAACUCGACAGAAGGAUCAAUUAUAGCAUUCAAAGUGGACAAUUCAGAUACUCAAUGUCCGUCUGGUACUGAUGCACCGACAUUUAACAAUCAGAAUGCUACGGGGUAUCUCUUCGUUACUGAUAAUACAGUAUGGUUUCCAACAACGGUUAAUUACACAAUCAGUUUGGCUGGAUCAAAUUGGAAAAUAUCAUAUACUUCAAUCCCUAUGUGUUCAUCGAGUUACACUAAUUUUUAUACUCUGCCCAAUGGAAAAUCAAUGUGUUUUGUGGUUUAUUAUUCAAAUUCGACACUUGGCUUAUUUCAAAAUUCAUCUCUUCAAACGUGUAAAUCCAUAAAUGGAAAUCUGCCAACAGUUACUAGUUCAGUUGAAAAUGGCGCAUUUACAUGGCUCGUUAAUCUAUAUAUUAAAUUUUUCAAGUCAAGCUCGUUCUACGUUAGAAUUGAUGGUAAGAGAACAACGGCAUGCCAAUCAACACCAAAAACAGCUGCAUGUAUGUCCCCAUCUGGUUUCACAUUCACUGAUCCUCAUUUCUUGGGUAAUUUCAAUUAUUAUAACUGGACAACAAAUGCUGGUGCAAGGGUGGAAAGUGAUGAUGAUUGUCUUGUUCUCGUAUUCCCAAGCGUUGGAACUUCGUAUGUUGAUGUUCGAAGUUGCACCAUAAAAGGGAAAUUGCAAGCGCUUGGACUGUUGUGUGUAAAAGAUGCGUGGACUGCAUGA
Molecule: RNA transcript, 982 nt
Organism: Caenorhabditis elegans
Lineage: Eukaryota; Metazoa; Nematoda; Chromadorea; Rhabditida; Rhabditidae
Gene: F22B3.10
Gene name: Non-coding transcript of protein-coding gene F22B3.10b
Exons: 9
Source: RefSeq, marked reviewed